RNAcentral lists this ribosomal RNA (2780 nucleotides) under Paenibacillus bouchesdurhonensis. RNAcentral's name for it is "bacterial LSU rRNA". The stretch from base 1142 to 2780 matches the Rfam family "Bacterial large subunit ribosomal RNA". The record is from RNAcentral. Lineage: Bacteria; Bacillati; Bacillota; Bacilli; Caryophanales; Paenibacillaceae.
AGACUCUGAAGCUUAUGUUUUGUUACACAUAAAAUUAAAGUACUUAACAUUUUAAGAUAUCUUUUAUGAAAAGUGGAUUGUUGGGUCAAUCCAGCCAUACUAUAAUGACAUUAGUACUGUUAUUGUCGGUAGUUUUUAUUAAAUACAUAGGGAAUACAUCCUAAAUAAAGUAGAGAGUUGAGGAGAGAGUGUAAUGAAUAAGAUCCCUGUGACAGAACUCAAGCCCGGAUUAAAAAUCAUAAGCAACGUAUACAGUCCCUUAGGUGGUUUGUUAUUGCAAAAAGGGAAGGUGCUGUUGCCGAGGGAUUUGGAUAUAUUGCGUGCUUUUAUGAUAUCGGAUGUAGAAAUUGAAGAACUAUCUAAGUCGGCAAAGGAAUCUAAUGCCACUCCUUCUACGUCAGCAGCGGGUAAACCAGAGAAAGCAGCGGCGACCGUACCGAGCGGAAGUGCAGCCGCCUCCGAAUCGGAACAUUUGCCGAUCAACCCUCUUCACCAGGAGUACGAUAGGAUGCUUCAUUUGACGAAAAGUGCUUUUCAGUCUGUACUAGCUGUGGAGCUUCCCAUAUAUGAGCUGCGUCGCCAACUGGAGGCUUUGAUCAAACAGAUGAAGCAUUACAAAGUAUUGACCUUUACGCCGCGAAACAUGAAUGAAUAUGAUUACCUGUACCACAAUGCCAUUCUUUCCUCGAUGACAUCUUAUUUGCUUGCUCAGUGGCAUGGUCUGCCACAAAAGGAUUGGAUGCAGGUUGCUUUCGCCGGUCUACUGCAUGAUAUUGGGAAUACGAAGAUUGAUCCGGUGAUUCUAUAUAAUCCUAACCCUCUAACGGAGAGCGAAGCUGAAGAAAUGCGAAUGCAUACGACUUAUGGAUAUCAACAACUCCGGAAAACAUCUGCAAUCAAUGAGGGAGUCCGUCUAACAGCACUGCAGCAUCAUGAGAAAAUGGAUGGAUCAGGGUACCCCUUCCACCUGACAGGUGAGAAAAUACAUAUAUACGCUAGAAUCGUAGCUAUAGCAGAUAUUUUUCAUGCUAUGACGCUCAAUCGGAGAUAUCGUAAAGCGCAAUCCCCAUAUUUGGUACUGGAACAGCUAAAGACGGAGGCGUUUGGAAAACUUGAUCCUAGUAUUGUGCAGACCUUCGUGGAGAAAGUAACCCAGUUCCAUAAUGGAAUGAGAGUACGCCUCAGCAAUGACAAGGUGGGUGAGAUUAUAUUCUCGGAUCGCAAUCAUCCUACACGCCCAAUGGUAUCGGUUAAUGGCGAAAUUAUUAAUUUAAUGAAAGAUACUAUGUUGUAUAUCGAGGAAGUUCUUUCCUAGGCUUGCUUUUUAACUAGGAAAUAGGUAUAGUAUGACUUGCUGCAGCGAUAGCUGAGAUAGAGUUUAUAUUCGAAAAAAUUAAUUUUAGAAAAACUCUUGCAAUUGUUAGCAGCAAGUGUUAUAUUAUAAGAGUUGCCGCUGAAACAACGGUAACAUACGAGAAACAAAGNCGUUAAGGCUGGGCUGUGAUGGGGAGGGAAAAUUUACAGUACCGAAGGUCAUGAUCUCACACUGCCAAGAAAAGCCUCUAGCCAGGAGAAGGUGCCCGUACCGCAAACCGACACAGGUAGGCGAGAAGAGAAUUCUAAGGCGCGCGGAAGAACUCUCGUUAAGGAACUCGGCAAAAUGACCCCGUAACUUUGGGAGAAGGGGUGCCCCGGUAGUGUGAAUAGCACGAGGGGGCCGCAGUGAAAAGGCCCAAGCGACUGUUUAGCAAAAACACAGGUCUGUGCGAAGCCGUAAGGCGAAGUAUACGGGCUGACGCCUGCCCGGUGCUGGAAGGUUAAGGGGAGCGGUUAGGGAGUAAUCCCGAAGCUGUGAACCGAAGCCCCAGUAAACGGCGGCCGUAACUAUAACGGUCCUAAGGUAGCGAAAUUCCUUGUCAGGUAAAUUCUGACCCGCACGAAUGGCGUAACGACUUGGGCGCUGUCUCAACGAGAGAUCCGGUGAAAUUUUAAUACCUGUGAAGAUGCAGGUUACCCGCGACAAGACGGAAAGACCCCAUGGAGCUUUACUACAGCUUGAUAUUGAACUUUGAUGCGAUUUGUACAGGAUAGGUGGGAGCCUAGGAAUCCGGAGCGCCAGCUUCGGUGGAGGCAUCGUUGGGAUACCACCCUGAUCGUAUCGAAGUUCUAACCUAGGACCGUGACCCGGUUCGGGGACAGUGUCAGGCGGGUAGUUUGACUGGGGCGGUCGCCUCCUAAAGAGUAACGGAGGCGCCCCAAGGUUCCCUCAGAAUGGUUGGAAAUCAUUCGUAGAGUGCAAAGGCAAAAGGGAGCUUGACUGCGAGACUGACAAGUCGAGCAGGGACGAAAGUCGGGCUUAGUGAUCCGGUGGUACCGCAUGGAAGGGCCAUCGCUCAACGGAUAAAAGCUACCCUGGGGAUAACAGGCUUAUCUCCCCCAAGAGUCCACAUCGACGGGGAGGUUUGGCACCUCGAUGUCGGCUCAUCGCAUCCUGGGGCUGAAGUAGGUCCCAAGGGUUGGGCUGUUCGCCCAUUAAAGCGGUACGCGAGCUGGGUUCAGAACGUCGUGAGACAGUUCGGUCCCUAUCUGUCGUGGGCGUAGGAAAUUUGAGAGGAGCUGUCCUUAGUACGAGAGGACCGGGAUGGACGCACCGCUGGUGCACCAGUUGUUCCGCCAGGAGCAUAGCUGGGUAGCUACGUGCGGAUGGGAUAAACGCUGAAAGCAUCUAAGCGUGAAGCCCUCCUCAAGAUGAGAUUUCCCAAUUUAGUAAGACCCCUUGA